AGACAUUGUUCUUUCUAUGCUUGCUGUUGUAAUGUAACAUUUUCAUCUUUGGUAGCUUCUUUUACAUAAAACAGUGAGUUCAGGUUAAUAUUUCCUCUAUUAUUAGCAAAGAGUAUUGAUUGGAGUAGGUAUUUGAUACUGGAAUACUGAUGUUAGAUCACCUGAGUGUUUCUUGCUCGAGUAUCUGUCUAAAUCGACUUCUUUUCUGAUUAGAUUGCAUUUGAAUUUGGAAUUUGAGACCUAGUGAAUUUGCAGAUGAUCUGAAGUCCUUUAAGUUCACUUGAAUGGUUUUGACGAUGGUGCUAAGGAAGCACUCUGAGGAAGCUGCUAGGCACCAACGUUCUGUUGGCCAAAGUGUGGAGACAGCUGAACCCUGCACUCAGAACUGACUGGAUGACUGUGAUUUGUGGCAUGGAGUGGAGAUGUUCCGAAUACCUUGUAGCCUGUGCGUGAAGUUCUGAGGUCCAUAUCCCAUAGAGCUGAGGAAGGCUUCUCGUGGCUCCUCUCAUAGCCUGUGCAGUCUGCAGACAAUGGAUUGAUUUGAGCUUGCCUUCCUUCGGCUGGCUGACAAGGCCCUUCAGCUUUGAGUCCAUGGGAUCUGCCUGGGUAUGGCACUGUCUUGAGAAAGAGCUGCUGCCAGUUUUUUUGUUUUCCCUGCUGCAAGCUACCUAGAAGCCAGAUUUUCAAGACAAGGAUGUGCAAGUCCAUGUAAGCUGUGUAUUACACAGCAACAGAAACGUUUCUGCACGCUGCGUGGAAAAAAUAAUGUUCUUCUGCAGAGAAGGAGCACGUGUUGUGUUGGAAGGAGCUUCACAGAUCAUCAGAUAAUCUCAGAUUUAUAUUCUUCUGCUAUUAUGAAAUACUUUGUAGUCUGUUUAAUAUUUUGUUGUGUCAAAUUUAAAUACAUUUGUCUAGAAGAUGUCAUUUAACAAUGGAAUGUGAUUGACUGUUUGGAACCUUAAAUAACUGAUAAAAUGGCACAGAGGAGGUGAAAGCAGAUAACUGAUACAGCCAAGCUGUUAGUAGAGUCAAUACAAAAUGUGUCUGGAUGUGGGCAGGGACAUUUUUAUAAGGCUUUUACAGCAAAGAAGAAUUAUGUGAUUAGGAAGCUAGGGUCAAGAGUAUGACCCUAGAGUACGACAAGUUGCAUGACGUGAAUGCAGAGAAGAGAAUUGCUGUUGUAAACAGCAGGCCAAAGGGAAGAGUGACAGCACCUGAAGAACUAUAGUAGUCUAAUCUAGCAAAUCAGUUAGGUCUGUCGUCUUGAUAUGAAAUAUGAAAAUAAAUUUUCAGAGAUCCUUGUGAUCUUAAUCUAA
This 1316-nucleotide long non-coding RNA is filed under the name Phasianus colchicus (ring-necked pheasant). RNAcentral describes it as "lncRNA (ENSPCLG00000021079.1)". The record is from RNAcentral. Lineage: Eukaryota; Metazoa; Chordata; Aves; Galliformes; Phasianidae.